This 1369-nucleotide ribosomal RNA is filed under the name uncultured bacterium. RNAcentral's name for it is "bacterial SSU rRNA". It matches the Rfam family "Bacterial small subunit ribosomal RNA", at positions 28 to 1381 of the family's 1533-position model. The record is from RNAcentral.
GACGAACGCUGGCGGCGUGCCUAAUACAUGCAAGUAGAACGCUGAAGAGAGGAGCUUGCUCUUCUUGGAUGAGUUGCGAACGGGUGAGUAACGCGUAGGUAACCUGCCUUGUAGCGGGGGAUAACUAUUGGAAACGAUAGCUAAUACCGCAUAACAAUGGAUGACACAUGUCAUUUAUUUGAAAGGGGCAAUUGCUCCACUACAAGAUGGACCUGCGUUGUAUUAGCUAGUAGGUGAGGUAACGGCUCACCUAGGCGACGAUACAUAGCCGACCUGAGAGGGUGAUCGGCCACACUGGGACUGAGACACGGCCCAGACUCCUACGGGAGGCAGCAGUAGGGAAUCUUCGGCAAUGGGGGCAACCCUGACCGAGCAACGCCGCGUGAGUGAAGAAGGUUUUCGGAUCGUAAAGCUCUGUUGUAAGUCAAGAACGAGUGUGAGAGUGGAAAGUUCACACUGUGACGGUAGCUUACCAGAAAGGGACGGCUAACUACGUGCCAGCAGCCGCGGUAAUACGUAGGUCCCGAGCGUUGUCCGGAUUUAUUGGGCGUAAAGCGAGCGCAGGCGGUUUGAUAAGUCUGAAGUUAAAGGCUGUGGCUCAACCAUAGUUCGCUUUGGAAACUGUCAAACUUGAGUGCAGAAGGGGAGAGUGGAAUUCCAUGUGUAGCGGUGAAAUGCGUAGAUAUAUGGAGGAACACCGGUGGCGAAAGCGGCUCUCUGGUCUGUAACUGACGCUGAGGCUCGAAAGCGUGGGGAGCGAACAGGAUUAGAUACCCUGGUAGUCCACGCCGUAAACGAUGAGUGCUAGGUGUUGGAUCCUUUCCGGGAUUCAGUGCCGCAGCUAACGCAUUAAGCACUCCGCCUGGGGAGUACGACCGCAAGGUUGAAACUCAAAGGAAUUGACGGGGGCCCGCACAAGCGGUGGAGCAUGUGGUUUAAUUCGAAGCAACGCGAAGAACCUUACCAGGUCUUGACAUCCCGAUGCUAUUUCUGGAGAUAGAAAGUUACUUCGGUACAUCGGUGACAGGUGGUGCAUGGUUGUCGUCAGCUCGUGUCGUGAGAUGUUGGGUUAAGUCCCGCAACGAGCGCAACCCCUAUUGUUAGUUGCCAUCAUUCAGUUGGGCACUCUAGCGAGACUGCCGGUAAUAAACCGGAGGAAGGUGGGGAUGACGUCAAAUCAUCAUGCCCCUUAUGACCUGGGCUACACACGUGCUACAAUGGUUGGUACAACGAGUUGCGAGUCGGUGACGGCAAGCUAAUCUCUUAAAGCCAAUCUCAGUUCGGAUUGUAGGCUGCAACUCGCCUACAUGAAGUCGGAAUCGCUAGUAAUCGCGGAUCAGCACGCCGCGGUGAAUACGUUCCCGGGCCU